UGGAGGUGACUGGAUGGUGGGGUGGUCCCCC
This 31-nucleotide non-coding RNA is filed under the name Homo sapiens (human). The record is from RNAcentral. Lineage: Eukaryota; Metazoa; Chordata; Mammalia; Primates; Hominidae.